RNAcentral lists this long non-coding RNA (315 nucleotides) under Numida meleagris (helmeted guineafowl). RNAcentral's name for it is "lncRNA (ENSNMEG00000013791.1)". The record is from RNAcentral. Lineage: Eukaryota; Metazoa; Chordata; Aves; Galliformes; Numididae.
UGAAAUCCCACUGCUGCUGCGUCCUCCCCUCCUGCUGCUUGCGCUCGAGGCUUUCAAUGAAGUCGCAGAGAAACCUGACUCUGAGCAGACACCAAACCGAGGCGAGGGGCUCCAGGGUCUUAUUACAAUUCUCCUUCACCACCCUCUACCGCCUCCACUAUCUGAUGCCGUGCAAAUGUUCCCAGGCUCCAAGAAGGCUUCGCCUUGCUCGGUCCCAUCUCUGAUUUCCAUGGUGCAUCAGAAAAGAAGAGGAUGACUUCUCUGACCCCCCCUGCUGUUGCCAGUGUCAGUGCUAUUGUGGGGAACUCAUCCACG